CAAUAGCGUAUAUUAAAGCUGUUGCGGUUAAAGAGCUCGUAGUUGGAUUUCUGUCAAGGACAACUGGUCCGCCCUCCGGGUGAGCACAUAGUUUGGUCUUGGCAUCUUGUUCAAAACUGUUACUGCGCUUGGUUGUGUGGUGCAGUUUUGGGCACUUUCACUUUGAGGAAAUUGGAGUGUUUCAAGCAGGCACAUGCCUUUGGACACAGUAGCAUGGAAUAAUUAGAUUGGGCUUUUGCUCCAACUUGUCGGUUCCUGGAGCUGAGGUGAGAAUCAAUGGGGAUUGUUGGGGGCAUCUGAAUUUAGCCGUCAGAGGUGAAAUUCUUGGAUCUGCUAAAGACGGACAACUGCGAAAGCGUUUGCCCAGGAUGUUUUCAUUGA
RNAcentral lists this ribosomal RNA (381 nucleotides) under uncultured eukaryote. Its description in RNAcentral is "partial 18S ribosomal RNA". It matches the Rfam family "Eukaryotic small subunit ribosomal RNA", at positions 592 to 976 of the family's 1831-position model. The record is from RNAcentral.